This is a long non-coding RNA of Perca fluviatilis (European perch), 414 nucleotides long. RefSeq lists it as uncharacterized. The record is from RefSeq and is a predicted model, not a curated record. The transcript has 4 exons. NCBI's taxonomy places the organism in Eukaryota, Metazoa, Chordata, Actinopteri, Perciformes, Percidae.
CACAGCUCCCAGAUCCUAAGCUGCUUUUCUACACAGACCUGCUGAGGACAGAAGAGAGCUGCACACUGAUGAAGUUUAUGGCUGAAAGUUCAAUGAAGGUGUGGACUCUGCUAUGAGUCAGUGUGAGGACAGAGAGGAGGAAGUCCCUUCCUCUAAAACCACUCUGUGUGGGGAACAUGACAGCCAGACCAAAGCUCAGAGCUCAGAGCAGCAACCUGGACCCGGACCUGGACCCAGCUGUGUGUCCUUUUAAGAGUGACCAGUCAAAGGAUUUUCAUAUUAAUUUCAAGCACAGACAUGACAAAAAGAUCCAUCAGAGAUCAGACUGUCCCGAAGCUGAACCCAGCUGUGUGUCCAUGAAGAGUGACCAGUCUAUGCCUCAUCCUUAUAACUUCAAAGAUGGACUCCACUCAG